Molecule: ribosomal RNA, 429 nt
Filed under: uncultured Actinomycetes bacterium
Lineage: Bacteria; Bacillati; Actinomycetota; Actinomycetes
Description: bacterial SSU rRNA
Rfam family: Bacterial small subunit ribosomal RNA
Source: RNAcentral
UGGAUGAGUGGCGAACGGGUGAGUAACACGUGAGUAACCUGCCCCCUUCUUUGGGAUAACGGUCGGAAACGGCUGCUAAUACCGGGUAUUCACUGUCCUUCGCAUGGGGGGUGGUGGAAAGGUUUUUUCUGGUGGGGGAUGGGCUCGCGGCCGUAUCAGCUUGUUGGUGGGGUGAUGGCUUACCAACGGCUUUGACGGGUAACCGGCCUGAGAGGGUGACCGGUCACAUUGGGACUGAGAUACGGCCCAGACUCCUACGGGAGGCAGCAGUGGGGAAUAUUGCACAAUGGGCGAAAGCCUGAUGCAGCGACGCCGCGUGAGGGAUGACGGCCUUCGGGUUGUAAACCUCUUUCGCUCAUGGUCAAUCCGCAACAGUGGUUGUGGUGAGGGUAGUGGGUAAAGAAGCACCGGCUAAUUACGUGCCAGCAG